GCUUAAGAAAUAGAACAAAAAAAUUAAUGUCUUUUGAUAAGCUUAAGAAAAAGAACAAAAUAAAAACCAUUCCUUUUUUCAACAAAGAACCAUUGUUUUGGCAAACUAGGUUGCUCAUCUUGAAUCCCUUUUGAUAAGCAAAACAAAUAUCACAGAAAAAAAAAAAUCACAAUGGUUUAGAUACUUCAACAUAUGUGUUUUGGCAAACUAGGUUGCUCAUCUUGAAUGCCUUUUGAUAAGCAAAACAAAUAUCCCAGUAAAAAAAAAAUCACAAUGGUUUAGAUACUUCAACAUAUGUGCAUAUGCAUCUCAUAAAGAUUAAAUAUAAUUAAAAUAUAAAAAAAUGGAAAAUUAUUAAAAAAAAUCCGCAACAAUAACUCUCUAAAGAACCUAAAUUUGAA
Molecule: long non-coding RNA, 401 nt
Filed under: Salvia miltiorrhiza (redroot sage)
Lineage: Eukaryota; Viridiplantae; Streptophyta; Magnoliopsida; Lamiales; Lamiaceae
Description: long non-coding RNA (SMIL_LNC005397)
Source: RNAcentral